RNAcentral lists this unclassified non-coding RNA (237 nucleotides) under rhizosphere metagenome. Its description in RNAcentral is "partial ribosomal RNA internal transcribed spacer region". The record is from RNAcentral.
GUAGGUGAACCUGCGGAAGGAUCAUUAACACGUAUCCACGUACCAACCCCAAGUGUCACGAGUGCGCGCUGCUUUGCUGCGGCCGUGCUCAGUUUUCUUUUGCAUUUUCCACAAUGAAUUUUAACCACUUGAACCCAUCAGACUAAAACUAUUUCGUGCUUUUUUGCGCUCUGCGCGAGAAAACCGAAACAAUAAAAUAACAAGAAACAACUCUUAGCGACGGAUUUCUUGGCUCCC